CCUAUGGGGUGCAGCAGGCGCGAAAACUUUGCAAUGCGGGAAACCGUGACAAGGGAACUCUGAGUGCCCGUAAAAUCGGGCUGUCCAUUGGUGUAAAAAACCAGUGAAGAAAGGGCCGGGCAAGACCGGUGCCAGCCGCCGCGGUAAUACCGGCGGCUCGAGUGGUGGCCACUAUUACUGGGCUUAAAGCGUUCGUAGCUGGUUUGUUAAGUCUCUGGGGAAAUCUUCCGGCUUAACCGGAAGGCGUCUCAGGGAUACUGGCAGACUAGGGACCGGGAGAGGUGAGAGGUACUCCAGGGGUAGGAGUGAAAUCCUGUAAUCCUUGGGGGACCACCUGUGGCGAAGGCGUCUCACCAGAACGGCUCCGACAGUGAGGGACGAAAGCUGGGGGAGCAAACCGGAUUAGAUACCCAAGUAGUCC
RNAcentral lists this ribosomal RNA (421 nucleotides) under uncultured Methanoregula sp. RNAcentral's name for it is "bacterial SSU rRNA". It matches the Rfam family "Archaeal small subunit ribosomal RNA", at positions 322 to 747 of the family's 1478-position model. The record is from RNAcentral. Lineage: Archaea; Methanobacteriati; Methanobacteriota; Methanomicrobia; Methanomicrobiales; Methanoregulaceae.